CCUACGGGAGGCAGCAGUGAGGAAUAUUGGUCAAUGGACGAGAGUCUGAACCAGCCAAGUAGCGUGAAGGAUGACUGCCCUAUGGGUUGUAAACUUCUUUUAUAUGGGAAUAAAACGUUCCACGUGUGGGAUUUUGUAUGUACCAUAUGAAUAAGGAUCGGCUAACUCCGUGCCAGCAGCCGCGGUAAUACGGAGGAUGCGAGCGUUAUCCGGAUUUAUUGGGUUUAAAGGGAGCGUAGGUGGAUUGUUAAGUCAGUUGUGAAAGUUUGCGGCUCAACCGGAAAAUUGCAGUUGAAACUGGCAGUCUUGAGUACAGUAGAGGUGGGCGGAAUUCGUGGUGUAGCGGUGAAAUGCUUAGAUAUCACGAAGAACUCCGAUUGCGAAGGCAGUUCACUGGACUGCAACUGACACUGAGGCUCGAAAGUGUGGGUAUCAAACAGGAUUAGAUACCCGGGUAGUC
This 460-nucleotide ribosomal RNA is filed under the name uncultured bacterium. RNAcentral's name for it is "partial 16S ribosomal RNA". It matches the Rfam family "Bacterial small subunit ribosomal RNA", at positions 338 to 795 of the family's 1533-position model. The record is from RNAcentral.